AUAAUACUUUGUUACGAAAUUCUAUAGAUAGCUAAUAUAAUUUUUUUUGAUAAUUCAUUGUUUUAAAUAUGAUUAGCAAUAGAUUUUUGUUGUUUAGCGAUCAGAGUUGUCCGCCGCGGUUUGUUUUUUAGUGGGUAAUAAAAAGAUCUAGUUUAAUAGUAAGUUAAAAUAUCAUUUUUGUAAUAUUUUUUUUACACUCGACACAUUUUCAUCUUAUACGAUACUUAAUUCUAUAUACAAAGGUUUGAAGGUCGAGGAAAUAUUGGAUUAGGACAAAUAGGAAGUAGGUAGCCGUGGUGUUGGAGUACUUUUACGAGGAAGAGACAGGGAGCUAGUCUCGUCUUUUUGAUGCAUAACUGUCAGUUAUCUUGCUAUUUGAUUGUCAUUAUUUUCUUGUCAAUCGUGUUUUUAUUAUAUAUUUUUUUGAGUUGGAGGUCUAUAGGCAACAACGUGAAGGUGGAGGUAACGUUUGCGUACAUGCUACACUCCUCAGACUUCAGUUUGUGAGAAUAUGUUGUGGUUGAUUCUAAUUUUGUUCUGUUUUCAUUCAUGUGUGUUUUGCAGUAUUUGUGAAUGGAAGAUUUUGCAAAGACGCAAAGCUAGCAAAUGCAGAUGAUUUCUAUGCAUCAGGUUUCAAUGUAAGUGGAAUGCCAACACCAACAAAUCUUGGUUUUUCUGUGAAUGCAUUGAACGUAAAUCGAAUGCCAGGACUGAACACUCUAGGCAUUUCGAUGGCUCGUGCUGAUCUUGAACCCUUUGGAUUGAUCUCACCACACAUUCAUCCUCGAGCAACGGAGCUAAUACUCGUAUUGGAAGGUACUAUCUACGUUGGAUUUGUUGUUCCUGAUACACGAAAUCCUUUCAAAUCGAGGCUAUUCGAUAAGAUCUUACAUCCAGGGGAUGCUUUUGUCAUCCCACAAAGUAUGGUUCACAUUCAAUACAAUUUGGGAACCACAAAUGCAACACAUUUGAGUAGUUUCAAUAGCCAAAAUCCUGGAGUACACAUGAUCUCUUAUCAACUAUUUGGUUCAAAUCCACCAAUUCUUGAUGAUGUUCUUGUUAAAGGGUUUCAAUUGGAUAAGAAAGUAGUUGAUCAUCUUCGAGCUCAGUUUUCGAGCAAAUCGUGAACAUGUUUGUCAAAAAUUUAAUGAGACAAGUUCUUGUUUGUUCAUACUUGUUGUUAGUGCAGA
Molecule: unclassified non-coding RNA, 1190 nt
Filed under: Hevea brasiliensis (rubber tree)
Lineage: Eukaryota; Viridiplantae; Streptophyta; Magnoliopsida; Malpighiales; Euphorbiaceae
Source: RNAcentral